RNAcentral lists this non-coding RNA (26 nucleotides) under Cricetulus griseus (Chinese hamster). The record is from RNAcentral. Lineage: Eukaryota; Metazoa; Chordata; Mammalia; Rodentia; Cricetidae.
AGAUGGCUGGAAAAAACAAUGGAUGG